Molecule: ribosomal RNA, 467 nt
Filed under: uncultured bacterium
Lineage: Bacteria
Description: partial 16S ribosomal RNA
Rfam family: Bacterial small subunit ribosomal RNA
Source: RNAcentral
GAUGAACGCUGGCGGCGUGCUUAACACAUGCAAGUCGAACGGAAAGGCUCCUGCUUGCAGGGGUACUCGAGUGGCGAACGGGUGAGUAACACGUGGGUGAUCUGCCCUGCACUUCGGGAUAAGCCUGGGAAACUGGGUCUAAUACCGGAUAGGACCACAUUUUGGAUGGUGUGGUGGAAAGUUUUUCGGUGUGGGAUGAGCUCGCGGCCUAUCAGCUUGUUGGUGGGGUAAUGGCCUACCAAGGCGUCGACGGGUAGCCGGCCUGAGAGGGUGUACGGCCACAUUGGGACUGAGAUACGGCCCAGACUCCUACGGGAGGCAGCAGUGGGGAAUAUUGCACAAUGGGCGCAAGCCUGAUGCAGCGACGCCGCGUGGGGGAUGACGGCCUUCGGGUUGUAAACUCCUUUCGCUAGGGACGAAGCGUUUUUGUGACGGUACCUGGAGAGGAAGCACCGGCUAACUACGUG